AGUUCCAUGGUGGAAUGGUUAGUACUUUGGACUCUGAGUCCAGGGAUCUGAGUUCAAAUCUCGGUGGAACCU
Molecule: transfer RNA, 72 nt
Filed under: Podarcis lilfordi (Lilford's wall lizard)
Lineage: Eukaryota; Metazoa; Chordata; Lepidosauria; Squamata; Lacertidae
Rfam family: tRNA
About the family: Transfer RNA (tRNA) molecules are approximately 80 nucleotides in length. Their secondary structure includes four short double-helical elements and three loops (D, anti-codon, and T loops).
Source: Rfam by way of RNAcentral